RNAcentral lists this ribosomal RNA (395 nucleotides) under Chlamydomonas sp. MACC 688. RNAcentral describes it as "SSU rRNA". It matches the Rfam family "Eukaryotic small subunit ribosomal RNA", at positions 619 to 1003 of the family's 1831-position model. Lineage: Eukaryota; Viridiplantae; Chlorophyta; Chlorophyceae; Chlamydomonadales; Chlamydomonadaceae. The record is from RNAcentral.
GCCAAAGGUGUUUUGCAGUUUAAAAAGCUCGUAGUUGGAUUUCGGGUGGGGUGGUGCGGUCCGCCUCUGGUGUGCACUGCUCCGCUCCACCUUCCUGCCGGGGACGGGCUCCUGGGCUUCACUGUCUGGGACUCGGAGUCGGCGAGGUUACUUUGAGUAAAUUAGAGUGUUCAAAGCAGGCCUACGCUCUGAAUACAUUAGCAUGGAAUAACACGAUAGGACUCUGGCCUAUCUGUUGGUCUGUGGGACCGGAGUAAUGAUUAAGAGGGGUAGUCGGGGGCAUUCGUAUUCCGUUGUCAGAGGUGAAAUUCUUGGAUUUACGGAAGACGAACAUCUGCGAAAGCAUUUGCCAAGGAUACUUUCAUUGAUCAAGAACGAAAGUUGGGGGCUCGAAG